AAGUUAAUAUUCCUUCGGAAUAGAGCAACAAAGAAUGAGCGAGCGAGAUGUCACUAUCUGCAACCCUGUGUGAUAAAAAGAGAUGUGUGAUGCUAUCAUCGUCACGUCAAUAGAACCAUUUUUGCAAAAGAUUUGACAGGCAGUGACACAUAGAGGCACAAAGCAGAAUUUCAAAUCACAGUUUUUUCUAAAAAUUUCGUAAAAUCCUGUAUAGUUUUGGAAUUUUUUUAUUGUAAUACAAUGGGGACCUGUUCCGUCCUUGAUUGUGAUGUAAACCAGAGAAAUAAUCCCGCAAAAUAUUCAUUUCACAGAUUUCCGACUAACGAAGAUGUAAGAAAAACAUGGCUCAAAUUAAUUAAUCGUCCAAAUUGGAUUCCAACUAAAUAUGCCACUUUAUGUAGCAAACAUUUUGAUAGUAAAUAUUUUCGAAAAAUUGGAGCCAGAAUCACGUUGAAAAAAUGUGCAAUCCCUACAGAGUUUGUAGGGAUUUGUUGUAUUGCGCUAUUUUUUUAUUGCGCUGAUUCUGCUGCACACUGAUGUCUGGAUCCUUUAAUGGAUGGUAUUGUUUGUUUACACAUACAAUGUCAUUAUUUUGUUGCAAUUUCUUACAAAACUUGCGCGCAAACAGCAAAUCUAGUAUGAAAAUCAUCAAACUUCUGAUGCUCGUAACUCAUUUCAGACUGAGUUUAGAGGUAUACAUGUCAUAGUAAGUUUGGUUUAUUACACUAUUUUGUAAUCAAAAACCAAGGUUUGGUCGAUGGCCGCGCGAAAAAAAAAAGACGCUAAUUUCCGGCAUUGUCUUUUAUUAUUACAUCGCAUUCGUUAGAAUCCUAUUUUUUACAUUAUCGUCAGAAUUAUCAUUUUUAAUUAUUGACUUACUCUUACUAAUUAGAAAUCAGAAAGUUUGUAUGGAUGUCUUGAUGUUUGUUGCUCUUUCAAUUAAAUCAGUUAAAUCAUUUUAA
Long non-coding RNA from Ostrinia nubilalis (European corn borer), 962 nucleotides. RefSeq lists it as uncharacterized. Lineage: Eukaryota; Metazoa; Arthropoda; Insecta; Lepidoptera; Crambidae. The record is from RefSeq and is a predicted model, not a curated record. The transcript is spliced from 2 exons.